Molecule: ribosomal RNA, 776 nt
Filed under: Halobacterium sp. 1TK2
Lineage: Archaea; Methanobacteriati; Methanobacteriota; Halobacteria; Halobacteriales; Halobacteriaceae
Description: bacterial SSU rRNA
Rfam family: Archaeal small subunit ribosomal RNA
Source: RNAcentral
UAUCGGAGUCCGAUUUAGCCAUGCUAGUUGUGCGGGUUUAGACCCGCAGCGGAAAGCUCAGUAACACGUGGCCAAGCUACCCUGUGGACGGGAAUACUCUCGGGAAACUGAGGCUAAUCCCCGAUAACGCUUUGCUCCUGGAAGGGGCAAAGCCGGAAACGCUCCGGCGCCACAGGAUGCGGCUGCGGUCGAUUAGGUAGACGGUGGGGUAACGGCCCACCGUGCCCAUAAUCGGUACGGGUUGUGAGAGCAAGAGCCCGGAGACGGAAUCUGAGACAAGAUUCCGGGCCCUACGGGGCGCAGCAGGCGCGAAACCUUUACACUGUACGAAAGUGCGAUAAGGGGACUCCGAGUGUGAAGGCAUAGAGCCUUCACUUUUGUACACCGUAAGGUGGUGCACGAAUAAGGACUGGGCAAGACCGGUGCCAGCCGCCGCGGUAAUACCGGCAGUCCGAGUGAUGGCCGAUCUUAUUGGGCCUAAAGCGUCCGUAGCUGGCUGAACAAGUCCGUUGGGAAAUCUGUCCGCUUAACGGGCAGGCGUCCAGCGGAAACUGUUCAGCUUGGGACCGGAAGACCUGAGGGGUACGUCUGGGGUAGGAGUGAAAUCCUGUAAUCCUGGACGGACCGCCGGUGGCGAAAGCGCCUCAGGAGAACGGAUCCGACAGUGAGGGACGAAAGCUAGGGUCUCGAACCGGAAUUAGAUACCCGGGUAGUCCUAGCUGUAACGAUGUCCGCUAGGUGUGGCGCANGCUACAGCCUGCGCUGUGCCGUAGGAA